This is a non-coding RNA of Triticum urartu, 1629 nucleotides long. The record is from RefSeq and is a predicted model, not a curated record. NCBI's taxonomy places the organism in Eukaryota, Viridiplantae, Streptophyta, Magnoliopsida, Poales, Poaceae.
UCUGGAAGAGGAGAAGCAUCGCCCUCCGACCAUGCCGCUGGCGGCCGAGGACAAAUAGCCCAAUCGAUCUACCUCUUCUCCUGCUGAGGUGAUGUUCAUCGUUCUUGUUUUUUCCGUGUGAUGUUCAUCGUUCCUCUUAUUUUCUUGGUUGAUGUGCUAAUCGUGUUAGUCAUCUAGAAGAUGAAUGAAACUAUGAUGGGAAAGGACAGAUGGACUGGGAUAUAUUGCCUCGCUGUGCCGCUUGGUGGCUGAGAUGCGGCAGCCCCAUGCUCUGUUCCGAUGGGCCUCCUCUGCUCGAUGUUGCUGCUGGUUGAGUUUGGUACGGUUUCCUGUUGUCGUUUGCGUCGAGCCUUGGGUCCGUCUCUCCUUCUCAUUGAGCGUACUUCUCCUGUUGCCGGCGCUUCUUCUUCUCGUCCGUCCUGCUGCUUACCCAACGUGCUUCUGCUUGCUGCCUCCGGCUGUACGAUCUCUUCUGUUGCUGUGUCAUUCGACUCAUCAAGUGUUGUCUGCAAGGCCGAAGGGAAGUUAUUAAUGCAUUUGAGCAGCUCUAUCUGAUUGUUCAUCUCCUGAACCUAUUUUAGUUGAUAUAUAAGUGUUCUCUAUUUCAGAAAGACAGAACACGAGAUUGUGCCCCCUCUUGCUCCAGUUUAUUGAAUACAUUUUGAAGAAGUGAAUGCUCUAUCCGGUACUGUCCUAUGACUCAUUUAACAGUCCGUCAAUUUGCUCACAAACCUCCUCAUGUACAGCAUACAAUGAGUAUUCUGUCACAUAUCACACAACAUCUUGAUCUUUCAGCUAAUAAUAUGCUGUAAUUUUUUAGGCGUAUCACUGUUUGCAGCUUUUGGAUUCCUUCUGUGUGUUGGGAGAUAAUGCUCUUAAUAAACUUUAGCUUUCUGCAAUGCUAGGUCGGACAAAUUCAGUACUGAAAAUCUAGACUGUUCUUUCCACUCGAUAACAACUUCUAUGCUUGCGCCACCAUGAUAUCACUACAACAUUUCCCUGGAAAAUUUUAUUAGUUGCAUGUAAACUGAAUUGAUUUACCAGUAAAAACCUGGACAACUCAUUUCAGUCCCUAACAACAAUUAUGGCAUUACCAGGAUAUGUCAUGUAUGUGCUCUGAGUCGUAGUAGGAUGCAAAAAGUACAAUAAGAGAUAGAAUGUAUGGACUAUGGCUAGCAGUAACAUUUUAUUGACUUGUGCAGUAUUUGAUACUAUCUAUUUCUGCAGGCUAUUCCUCAUGUUGCAACCUUUUCCCAUAGAAUUGAAUGGAAGAUGGAAGAAAUUGCAGGAGGAAUGGUGUUUCCAGCGUGACAUUCAAAACCAGUCAAGACUAUAAAGGGGUUGUGAAGGACGAAAUGCUAUGGAUCCAGAGUGGGAGGGGAGAGUUACCAACAAUGUAUCGAGGAUAAACCGUGACAUGGAUUCCUAAGUUCCAACUUAAAUAGCAAAAUUAUAUAGGGAGAAUGCCUGCAUUUUGAAAACUCUAUUACAUAGUUUGAAGCUAUGCUUCUUUCAAAUUUCAUUAUUAAAAGGAUCCUUAUUAUUGCCAAUUUGUCAAGCAUUUAUUGUCGAAUAACUCUUUGUUUCAAAUGAGACCUGUGGCGCAAGGGGUAAAUUUAUUAUACAUCU